AGACAACGCAUCCAACGAGCCAAUUCCAGCGGGGUCGAGCGGACAGUUGGGAGCUUGCUCCCUGAAAGUAGCCGGCGACGGGUGAAGUAACACGGUGGGCAACCUGCCUGUUAGACUGGGAUAACUCCGGGAAACCGGGGCUAAACCGGAUAAUUCUUUUCUCUCAUGAGGAAAAGCUGAAAGAUGGUUUCGGCUAUCACUUACAGAUGGGCCCGCGGCGCAUUAGCUAGUUGGUGAGGGAACGGCUCACCAAGGCCACGAUGCGUAGCCGACCUGAGAGGGUGAUCGGCACACUGGACUUGAGACACGGCCCAGACUCCUACGGGAGGCAGCAGUAGGCUUCCGCAAUGGACGAAAGUCUGACGAGCAACGCCGCGUGAGUGAUGAAGGUUUUCGGAUCGAAAACUUCUGUUGUCAGGGAAGAACAAGUACCGAGAACUGCCGGUACCUUGACGGUACCUGACCAGAAAGCCACGGCUAACUACGUGCCAGCAGCCGCGGUAAUACGUAGGUGGCAAGCGUUGUCCGGAAUUAUUGGGCGGUAAAGCGCGCGCAGGCGGUUCCUUAAGUCUGAUGUGAAAGCCCCCGGCUCAACCGGGGAGGGUCAUUGGAAACUGGGAACCUUGAGUGCAGAAGAGAAGAGUGAAAUUCCACGUGUAGCGGUGAAAUUGCGUAGAGAGUGUGAGAACACCAGUGGCGAAGGCGGCAAAAUUGGUCUGAACUGACGUUGGAAAGCAACCCUUGGAUGCACCCUCCAGGGCAUGAUUUCCAAGGGUUUCGCCCUUUUGUGCGUGCAGCAAACGCAAUUAAGCACUCCGCCUGGGGAGUACGGCCGCAACGGCUGAAACUCAAAUGGAAUUGACCGGGGGCCCGCACAAGCGGUGGAGCAUGUGGUUUAAUUCGAAGCAACGCGAAGAACCUUCCAGGUCUUGACAUCUCCUGACAACCCUAGAGAUAGGGCGUUCCCCUUCGGGGGACAGGAUGACAGGUGGUGCAUGGUUGUCGUCAGCUCGUGUCGUGAGAUGUUGGGUUAAGUCCGCAACGAGCGCAACCCUUGAUCUUAGUUGCCAGCAUUCAGUUGGGCACUCUAAGGUGACUGCCGGUGACAAACCGGAGGAAGGUGGGGAUGACGUCAAAUCAUCAUGCCCCUUAUGACCUGGGCUCACACGUGCUCAAUGGAUGGUACAAAGGGCUGCAAAACCGCGAGGUUAAGCGAAUCCCAUAAAACCAUUCUCAGGUUCGGAUUGCAGGCUGCAACUCGCCUGCAUGAAGCCGGAAUCGCUAGUAAUCGCGGAUCAGCAUGCCGCGGUGAAUAAAGUUCCCGGGCCUUGUACACACCGCCCGUCACACCACGAGAGUUUGUACACCCGAAGUCGGUGGGGUACCUUUUGACGCCAGGAACCAUACCGGUUGAUACUACU
This 1421-nucleotide ribosomal RNA is filed under the name Bacillus sp. SK1-1-9. RNAcentral's name for it is "partial 16S ribosomal RNA". It matches the Rfam family "Bacterial small subunit ribosomal RNA". Lineage: Bacteria; Bacillati; Bacillota; Bacilli; Caryophanales; Bacillaceae. The record is from RNAcentral.